UUAAGCGACUAAGCGUACACGGUGGAUGCCCUGGCAGUCAGAGGCGAUGAAGGACGUGCUAAUCUGCGAUAAGCGUCGGUAAGGUGAUAUGAACCGUUAUAACCGGCGAUUUCCGAAUGGGGAAACCCAGUGUGAUUCGUCACACUAUCAUUAACUGAAUCCAUAGGUUAAUGAGGCGAACCGGGGGAACUGAAACAUCUAAGUACCCCGAGGAAAAGAAAUCAACCGAGAUUCCCCCAGUAGCGGCGAGCGAACGGGGAGCAGCCCAGAGCCUGAAUCAGUGUGUGUGUUAGUGGAAGCGUCUGGAAAGGCGCGCGAUACAGGGUGACAGCCCCGUACACAAAAAUGCACAUACUGUGAGCUCGAUGAGUAGGGCGGGACACGUGGUAUCCUGUCUGAAUAUGGGGGGACCAUCCUCCAAGGCUAAAUACUCCUGACUGACCGAUAGUGAACCAGUACCGUGAGGGAAAGGCGAAAAGAACCCCGGCGAGGGGAGUGAAAAAGAACCUGAAACCGUGUACGUACAAGCAGUGGGAGCACGCUUCGGCGUGUGACUGCGUACCUUUUGUAUAAUGGGUCAGCGACUUAUAUUCUGUAGCAAGGUUAACCGAAUAGGGGAGCCGAAGGGAAACCGAGUCUUAACUGGGCGUUAAGUUGCAGGGUAUAGACCCGAAACCCGGUGAUCUAGCCAUGGGCAGGUUGAAGGUUGGGUAACACUAACUGGAGGACCGAACCGACUAAUGUUGAAAAAUUAGCGGAUGACUUGUGGCUGGGGGUGAAAGGCCAAUCAAACCGGGAGAUAGCUGGUUCUCCCCGAAAGCUAUUUAGGUAGCGCCUCGUGAAUUCAUCUCCGGGGGUAGAGCACUGUUUCGGCAAGGGGGUCAUCCCGACUUACCAACCCGAUGCAAACUGCGAAUACCGGAGAAUGUUAUCACGGGAGACACACGGCGGGUGCUAACGUCCGUCGUGAAGAGGGAAACAACCCAGACCGCCAGCUAAGGUCCCAAAGUCAUGGUUAAGUGGGAAACGAUGUGGGAAGGCCCAGACAGCCAGGAUGUUGGCUUAGAAGCAGCCAUCAUUUAAAGAAAGCGUAAUAGCUCACUGGUCGAGUCGGCCUGCGCGGAAGAUGUAACGGGGCUAAACCAUGCACCGAAGCUGCGGCAGCGACACUAUGUGUUGUUGGGUAGGGGAGCGUUCUGUAAGCCUGCGAAGGUGUGCUGUGAGGCAUGCUGGAGGUAUCAGAAGUGCGAAUGCUGACAUAAGUAACGAUAAAGCGGGUGAAAAGCCCGCUCGCCGGAAGACCAAGGGUUCCUGUCCAACGUUAAUCGGGGCAGGGUGAGUCGACCCCUAAGGCGAGGCCGAAAGGCGUAGUCGAUGGGAAACAGGUUAAUAUUCCUGUACUUGGUGUUACUGCGAAGGGGGGACGGAGAAGGCUAUGUUGGCCGGGCGACGGUUGUCCCGGUUUAAGCGUGUAGGCUGAUUUUCCAGGCAAAUCCGGAAAAUCAAGGCUGAGGCGUGAUGACGAGGCACUACGGUGCUGAAGCAACAAAUGCCCUGCUUCCAGGAAAAGCCUCUAAGCAUCAGGUAACAUCAAAUCGUACCCCAAACCGACACAGGUGGUCAGGUAGAGAAUACCAAGGCGCUUGAGAGAACUCGGGUGAAGGAACUAGGCAAAAUGGUGCCGUAACUUCGGGAGAAGGCACGCUGAUAUGUAGGUGAAGUCCCUCGCGGAUGGAGCUGAAAUCAGUCGAAGAUACCAGCUGGCUGCAACUGUUUAUUAAAAACACAGCACUGUGCAAACACGAAAGUGGACGUAUACGGUGUGACGCCUGCCCGGUGCCGGAAGGUUAAUUGAUGGGGUCAGCGCAAGCGAAGCUCUUGAUCGAAGCCCCGGUAAACGGCGGCCGUAACUAUAACGGUCCUAAGGUAGCGAAAUUCCUUGUCGGGUAAGUUCCGACCUGCACGAAUGGCGUAAUGAUGGCCAGGCUGUCUCCACCCGAGACUCAGUGAAAUUGAACUCGCUGUGAAGAUGCAGUGUACCCGCGGCAAGACGGAAAGACCCCGUGAACCUUUACUAUAGCUUGACACUGAACAUUGAGCCUUGAUGUGUAG
This 2112-nucleotide ribosomal RNA is filed under the name Escherichia coli. RNAcentral's name for it is "bacterial LSU rRNA". It matches the Rfam family "Bacterial large subunit ribosomal RNA", at positions 1 to 2141 of the family's 2925-position model. The record is from RNAcentral. Lineage: Bacteria; Pseudomonadati; Pseudomonadota; Gammaproteobacteria; Enterobacterales; Enterobacteriaceae.